Molecule: ribosomal RNA, 471 nt
Filed under: uncultured bacterium
Lineage: Bacteria
Description: partial 16S ribosomal RNA
Rfam family: Bacterial small subunit ribosomal RNA
Source: RNAcentral
GACGAACGCUGGCGGCGUGCUUAACACAUGCAAGUCGAACGGAAAGGCCCUGCUUGCAGGGUGCUCGAGUGGCGAACGGGUGAGUAACACGUGGGUGAUCUGCCCCUUACUUUGGGAUAAGCCUGGGAAACUGGGUCUAAUACUGGAUAGGACCAUGCUGUAGGUGGUGUGGUGGAAAGAUUUUUUCGGUAAGGGAUGAGCUCGCGGCCUAUCAGCUUGUUGGUGGGGUAAUGGCCUACCAAGGCGUCGACGGGUAGCCGGCCUGAGAGGGUGGACGGCCACAUUGGGACUGAGAUACGGCCCAGACUCCUACGGGAGGCAGCAGUGGGGAAUAUUGCACAAUGGGCGCAAGCCUGAUGCAGCGACGCCGCGUGGGGGAUGACAGCCUUCGGGUUGUAAACUCCUUUCAGCCAUGACGAAGCCUCUUUUGGGGUGACGGUAGUGGUAGAAGAAGCACCGGCUAACUACGUG